Molecule: non-coding RNA, 580 nt
Organism: Camellia sinensis
Lineage: Eukaryota; Viridiplantae; Streptophyta; Magnoliopsida; Ericales; Theaceae
Source: RefSeq, a predicted model, not a curated record
AAAACUCAUAUCUGGCUCCAAACUAGCUUCAGUCCUGUGGUCACGAAUAAGCUCCUUGUUCUUCAUUUGCUUCAUAUACCAUCUUGUGCAUAUCCUGUAUACAUGUCACAAGGUUCAGUAACUCAGAACAAAUAUGUUAUGAACCAUGAAAAUUUACUCCAAAAAUGAUUGUGUAGUGUAGAUUUAAAAUUAGUUGGAUAUGGGCCACAUCCACAAUGGGUGUAGACUAUUGAUUCCUUUUUUUGAGUAAUUUUCUUGGUAAAUUUUCUGAGCUUGUAGCAUUACUUAACUUAGAAAGUCCAAGAAAACAAAAUCCAAUAAAUAUAAUAUUUGUGUGUGUUUGAUCUGUUUAUGAAAAAAAUUCCGUCACAGAGGGUAAAUUGCCUUUCAUUAGAACAAUGAAGAAACAAUUUAAUUUUCAUAAUGAUGCAAGUCUCUUGUGUAUAUAGUGCAAAUCCAUUCAUGUGUGUAUACUGUAAAUCAAUUCCUGUGUUCGGUACAAGUUUUCAAAGUCGCACAGAAAAAGAUUUCAUAUAUGGUACAAUUACUUUAUGACUGUCCCACUAAUUUAAAAUUUCUU